This 520-nucleotide ribosomal RNA is filed under the name Carabus intricatus intricatus. Its description in RNAcentral is "partial 16S ribosomal RNA". It matches the Rfam family "Bacterial large subunit ribosomal RNA", at positions 1819 to 2599 of the family's 2925-position model. Lineage: Eukaryota; Metazoa; Arthropoda; Insecta; Coleoptera; Carabidae. The record is from RNAcentral.
GUCCUUUUGAAUUUUAUUUAAGGUCUAGUCUGCCCACUGAAUUUAUAUUUUAAAUGGCCGCAGUAUUUUGACUGUGCAAAGGUAGCAUAAUCAUUAGUUUUUUAAUUAAAAGCUUGUAUGAAAGGCUGGACGAGGUAAAAUCUGUCUCUAUUUAAAUUAUAGUAGAAUUUAACUUUUAAGUUAAAAGGCUUAAAUAUUAUUAAAAGACGAGAAGACCCUAUAGAGCUUUAUAAUUUAUUAAUUAAAAUUAAUUUAGAAAUAUUUAUGUUUUAGUUAAUUAAAUUAUUUUAUUGGGGUAAUAGAAAGAUUGAAUUAAUUCUUUUUUAUAAUAAACAUUAAUUUAUGAAUAUUAAUGAUCCAAUUUUAUUGAUUAUAAGAUUAAGUUACCUUAGGGAUAACAGCGUAAUUUUUUUAAAGAGUUCAUAUCGAUAAAAAAGUUUGCGACCUCGAUGUUGGAUUAAAGAUUAUUUUAGGUGCAGAAGCUUAAUAAAUUUGGUCUGUUCGACCAUUGAAUCUUUAC